ACGGUGGAGACCUAGGCACCCAGAGACGAAGAAGGGCGCAGAUACCGGCGAAACGCUCCGGGGAGUUGGCAACAAACUUUGAUCCGGAGAUCCCCGAAUAGGGCAACCUGUACAACUUCCAACAGAAUUCAUAAGUUGGAAAGAGGCAACCCAGUGAAUUGAAACAUCUUAGUAGCUGGAGGAAAAGAAAGCAAACGCGAUUCCCGUAGUAGCGGCGAGCGAACCGGGAACAGCCUAAACCCAUUUCCAUUAGGGAAUGGGGGUAGUGGGAAGACAUUCUCUUUAAAAAUUUUCUAAAAACGAAACAGCUGAAUCCUGUACCAUAGAUGGUGAAAGUCCAGUAGUUGAAAUGAAAAAAAACAAAAUGUCUUAUCCCGAGUAGCAUGGGACACGUGGAAUCCCGUGUGAAUCAGCGAGGACCACCUCGUAAGGCUAAAUACUCCUGGGUGACCGAUAGUGAAAUAGUACUGCGAAGGAAAGGUGAAAAGAACCCUCGUAUAGGGAGUGAAAUAGAACAUGAAACCGUAAGCUGACAAGCAGUGGGAGGUUAAGAGCUGACCGCGUGCCUGUUGAAGAAUGAGCCGGCGACUUAGAGGGAGUGGCAAAAAGGUUAAGGAGAAACAUCCGGAGCCAACGCGAAAGCGAGUCCGAAAAUUCGGCGAAGAAUUUGUCAUUUCCUCUGGACCCGAACCCGGGUGAUCUAAUCAUGACCAACAUGAAGCUUGGGUAACACUAAGUGGAGGUGUGCACCGACCGAUGUUGAAAAAUCGGCGGAUGAGUUGUGAUUAUGCGCAGAAAUUGCAAUCGAACUCGGAGCUAGCUGGAUCUCCCCGAAAUGCGUUGAGGCGCAGCGGCAACGACGAGCUAUCAUAAGGUAAAGCUACUGUUUCGAUGCGGGCUGCGAGAGCGGUACCAAAUCGUGGCAAACUCAGAAUGUAUGAUAUUGCCUACCGUUAGCCAGUGAGACCCAAGGUGAUAAGAUCUUCGGUCAAGAGGGAAACAGCCCAGAUCACCAGCUAAGGCCCCUAAAUGGUUUCUAAGUGGAAAAGGAUGUGAGAGUGCAGAAACAACCAGGAGGUUUGCUUAGAAGCAGCAAUUUCCUUGAAAGAGUGCGUAAUAGCUCACUGGUAAAGCGUUCUUGCGCCGAUAAUGGCCGGGACUAAGAAACCUGCCGAAGCUGUGAGAUUCUUAKAUAAGAAUCGGUAGGGGAGCGUUCCGUUAUUGGGUGAAGUUAUGGUGUAAACCAGAAUGGACAAAACGGAAGUGAGAAUGUCGGCUUGAGUAACGAAAACAUUGGUGAGAAUCCAAUGCCCCGAAAACCGUUGGGUUCCUCCACUAGGUUCGUCCAUGGGGGGUUAGUCAGGUCCUAAGGCUAGGCCGAAAGGCGUCGUCGAUGGCAAACAGGUUAAUAUUCCUGUACUGAUUCUAUUGGGAACAAGGGACGAAGAAGGCUAAACUGAGACUACUAAUGGAUUAUAGUGGAAGCGUCAAGGUGUUGAGAGUUAGAAGAAAAACUAAACUUGAGCUGAGGCGUUAUCCCGAUAACAAUCCUUCGGGGUUGUUGUCGUCAGUGAUGUCAUGCUUCCAAGAAAAGCUUGAGCUCCAUAACAAUAGAAUUACCUGUACCUAAAACCGACACAGGUAGGUGAGUAGAGAAUACUAAGGGGCGCGAGAGAACUCUCUCUAAGGAACUCGGCAAACUGGCCCCGUAACUUCGGAAGAAGGGGCGCCUUUAAUUUCAUUAAAGGUCGCAGUAAACAGGCCCAGGCAACUGUUUAUCAAAAACAUAGGUCUCCGCAAAGUCGAAAGACUAUAUAUGGGGGCUGACGCCUGCCCAGUGCCGGAAGGUUAAGGAAGUUGGUUAGAGAGCUUGUCUCUCGAAGCUGACGACCGAAGCCCCGGUGAACGGCGGCCGUAACUAUAACGGUCCUAAGGUUAACGCUAGCUUUAGUAAAAUCAAGCUAUAUGCUGGCGGUCCUAAGGUAGCGAAAUUCAUUGUCGAGUAAGUUUCGACCUGCACGAAAGGUGUAAUGAUCUGGGCGCUGUCUCGGAGAGAGACUCGGUGAAAUAGACAUGUCCGUGAAGAUGCGGACUACCAAUACUAGGACAGAAAGACCCUAUGAAGCUUGACUGUAUCCUGGAAUUGAACUCGGGCUUUUCUUGCGCAGCCUAGGUGGGAGGCGUUGAAGGUCCCCUUCCGGGGGGGCUGGAGCCAUCAUUGAGAGACCACUCUGGAAGAGCUAGAGUUCUAAUGGUGAUCUUUGAAACAAGACACUUGACAGUUUCAGGUGGGCAGUUUUCCUGGGGCGGGAACCUCCCAAAGCGUAACGGAGGUGUGCAAAGGUUCUCUCAGUCUGGACGGAAAUCAGACAUUGAGUGUAAAGGCAAAAGAGAGCUUGACUGUAAGACCAACAAGUCGAGCAGGGGCGAAAGCCGGCCUUAGUGAUCCGACGGUGCCGUGUGGAAGGGCCGUCGCUCAACGGACAAAAGUUACUCUAGGGAUAACAGGCUGAUCUUCCCCAAGAGUUCAUAUCGACGGGAAGGUUUGGCACCUCGAUGUCGGCUCAUCACAUCCUGGAGCGGUAGUACGUUCCAAGGGUUGGGCUGUUCGCCCAUUAAAGUGGUACGUGAGCUGGGUUCAGAACGUCGUGAGACAGUUUGGUCCAUAUCCGGUAUUGGCGUAAGAGCAUUGAGAGGAGUCUUUCAUAGUACGAGAGGACCUGAAAGAAUGUGCCAAUUGUGUACCAGUUCUCAUUCCAAUGGGAAACGCUGGGUAGCUAUGCACAGAGACGAUAAAAGCUGACAGCAUCUAAGUUUGAAGCUCACCUCAAGAUGAGUGCUCUCUAAUUAGGUCGCGGGAAGAUCACCCGUUUUAUAGGCGUUAGGUCUACAGUCAGUAAUGGCUUGAGCUGAGACGUACUAAAGACCAAUUGAUUUUGAU
RNAcentral lists this ribosomal RNA (2941 nucleotides) under Dunaliella tertiolecta. RNAcentral describes it as "LSU rRNA". It matches the Rfam family "Bacterial large subunit ribosomal RNA". The record is from RNAcentral. Lineage: Eukaryota; Viridiplantae; Chlorophyta; Chlorophyceae; Chlamydomonadales; Dunaliellaceae.